RNAcentral lists this ribosomal RNA (204 nucleotides) under uncultured bacterium. RNAcentral describes it as "partial 16S ribosomal RNA". It matches the Rfam family "Bacterial small subunit ribosomal RNA", at positions 568 to 774 of the family's 1533-position model. The record is from RNAcentral.
CACGUAGGCGGUGAAUCGGGUUGAAAGUGAAAGUCGCCAAAAACUGGCGGAAUGCUCUCGAAACCAAUUCACUUGAGUGAGACAGAGGAGAGUGGAAUUUCGUGUGGAGGGGUGAAAUCCAGAAAUAUACGAAGGAAGGCCAAAAGCGAAGGCAGCUCUCUGGGUCCCUACCGACGCUGGGUGCGAAAGCAUGGGGAGCGAACG